GACGAACGCUGGCGGCGUGCUUAACACAUGCAAGUCGAACGGAAAGGCCCUGCUUUUGUGGGGUGCUCGAGUGGCGAACGGGUGAGUAACACGUGAGUAACCUGCCCUUGACUUUGGGAUAACUUCAGGAAACUGGGGCUAAUACCGGAACGGAGCUCCUGCUGCAUGGUGGGGGUUGGAAAGUUUCGGCGGUUGGGGAUGGACUCGCGGCUUAUCACCUUGUUGGUGGGGUAGUGGCUUACCAAGGCUUUGACGGAUAGCCGGCCUGAGAGGGUGACCGGCCACAGUAGGACUGAGAUAAGGCCCAGACUCCUACGGGAGGCAGCAGUGGGGAAUAUUGCACAAUGGGCGGAAGCCUGAUGCAGCAACGCCGCGUGCGGGAUGACGGCCUUCGGGUUGUAAACCGCUUUCGCCUGUGACGAAGCGUGAGGUACGGUAAUGGGUAAAGAAGCACCGGCUAACUACGUG
Molecule: ribosomal RNA, 468 nt
Filed under: uncultured bacterium
Lineage: Bacteria
Description: partial 16S ribosomal RNA
Rfam family: Bacterial small subunit ribosomal RNA
Source: RNAcentral